Non-coding RNA from Varanus komodoensis (Komodo dragon), 451 nucleotides. Lineage: Eukaryota; Metazoa; Chordata; Lepidosauria; Squamata; Varanidae. The record is from the annotation of a RefSeq genome assembly.
CAUGGCUGCUGCACCGGCUCAGCCCCACCGUGGGGACGUCCAGCGCCUGCUCUUCUCCCUCCUGGCCCUGCAGUGGGGACUGGCUGGCAGUGACUCCGGAGUGCAAGUGCAGCAGGCACCAUCCCUUGUGAGCAGGAGGCAGAAUGAGCUCCUGCAGCUGAACUGCAGCGUCAACCAAGCUAAUUAUUAUUUCUACUGGUACCAUCAGCUCCCGGGACAGACAGCGCUCCAGCUGCUUGGGUGGUUCGGUAUUGAUGACAAUCAUCUGCAAGAACCAAAACAGGAGCUGAAGGAGCGGCUGAGUGGCAAGCGGGACGGCAAAGUAACCCAUUUGGAGCUGAAGAGCCUCCAGCAGGACGACUCAGGGCUGUACCUGUGUGCCUCAAAGUACACGGGGUGCCUCUACCCCUGGGCAGAGUCAAGCGGUUUCCUUAGGCAGCUGCUGCUCUAA